This 444-nucleotide long non-coding RNA is filed under the name Homo sapiens (human). RNAcentral's name for it is "HSALNT0089727". The record is from RNAcentral. Lineage: Eukaryota; Metazoa; Chordata; Mammalia; Primates; Hominidae.
AGGAGAUAAGCAUGGACAUUUCAGGCACAGGAAUUUGCAAGAAGAAAGGCAGCGGAGCAUGAGGAUGUUCAAGGAAUUUAGGCUGACAUAUCAUGAGUGGACCUGGGAGAGGGCCACAUGCAAGGAACAGAGGGGGCCUGUAGAUGCCGAGAGCAGCCCUGGCUGACAGCCAGCAAGAAAGCAGGGACCUGCAUUCUACAGCUGCAAGAAACUGAAUUCUGCCAGCAACCCCCUGAGCUUUGAAGAGGAUCUCAAGACCCAGAAAGAAAUGCAGCCAGCCAACAUCUUGAUAGCACCCUUGUGAGACUCCGAGCAGAGGACCAAGCUAGGCCAUCUUCAGACUCCUGCCCCGCAGAAACUGUGAGAUAAUAAAUGUGUGUUGUUUUAAGUUGCUAAGUCUGUGGUCAUUUGUUAUGCAGAAAAAAAAAAAAUAAACAAACCAGU